This 253-nucleotide ribosomal RNA is filed under the name uncultured bacterium. RNAcentral's name for it is "partial 16S ribosomal RNA". It matches the Rfam family "Bacterial small subunit ribosomal RNA", at positions 524 to 776 of the family's 1533-position model. The record is from RNAcentral.
GACGGAGGGGGCUAGCGUUGUUCGGAAUUACUGGGCGUAAAGAGCGCGUAGGCGGCAUAGCAAGUUGGAAGUGAAAGCCCGGGGCUUAACCUCGGAACUGCUUUCAAAACUGCUAAGCUAGAGUAUGGUAGGGGAUGAUGGAAUUCCUAGUGUAGAGGUGAAAUUCUUAUAUAUUAGGAGGAACACCGGUGGCGAAGGCGGUCAUCUGGGCCAUUACUGACGCUGAGGCGCGAAAGCGUGGGGAGCAAACAGG